RNAcentral lists this long non-coding RNA (228 nucleotides) under Homo sapiens (human). RNAcentral's name for it is "HSALNT0181045". The record is from RNAcentral. Lineage: Eukaryota; Metazoa; Chordata; Mammalia; Primates; Hominidae.
CAGGGGUGUCCUCUGAAACUACACUUGGUCAAUGGUUGGCCGCUCUGUGAACAUAUAGAGCUAUCUCUGAUUGCUUGUCAAUCUACUGAAGCUAUCUCAGACUUGCAGAUGAUCAGCAGUGUUGGAGCCUUUUCUUUCGGUAGGAAAGACAGUGAUGAUUGACCUAAAGCGGCAGCAACACAGUGGCUAAUUAGUAGUGGUGAUGGUGGUCGUGACUACCCUCUUCUU